CUACGAAAACUGUGCAAUGUGGGAAACCACGACACGGGCAUACCGAGUGCCAAGGCUUUGCUUUGGCUGUUCUUUUCGCCUAAAAAGCGAGAGAAGUAAGGGCCGGGUAAGACGGGUGCCAGCCGCCGCGGUAAUACCCGCGGCCCGAGUGGUGCUCAUUAUUAUUGAGCUUAAAGCGUUCGUAGCCGGCCUCGUAAAUCUUUGGGUAAAUCGGGCAGCUUAACUGUUCGAAUUCCGAGGAGACUGCGAGGCUCGGGACCGGGAGAGGUUCGAGGUACUCCGGGGGUAGGGGUAAAAUCCUGUAAUCCUCGGAGGACCACCAGUGGCGAAGGCGUCGAACUAGAACGGAUCCGACGGUGAGGGACGAAGCCCUGGGGCGCAAACGGGAUUAGAUACCCCCGGUAGUCCAGGGUGUAAACGCUGCGGGUUUGGUGUCGGAGGUCCUACGAGGGCGUCCGGUGCCGGAGAGAAAUUGUUAAACCUGCCGCUUGGGGAGUACGGUCGCAAGACUGAAACUUAAGGAAUUGGCGGGGGAGCACCGCAACGGGAGGAGCGUGCGGUUCAAUUGGAUUCAACGCCGGAA
Molecule: ribosomal RNA, 583 nt
Filed under: uncultured Thermoplasmatales archaeon
Lineage: Archaea; Methanobacteriati; Thermoplasmatota; Thermoplasmata; Thermoplasmatales
Description: bacterial SSU rRNA
Rfam family: Archaeal small subunit ribosomal RNA
Source: RNAcentral